CGGGAUGUAGCGCAGCCCGGUAGCGCGCUUCGUUCGGGACGAAGAGGCCGCUGGUUCGAGUCCAGUCAUCCCGA
RNAcentral lists this transfer RNA (74 nucleotides) under Chitinophagaceae bacterium. RNAcentral's name for it is "tRNA-Pro". It matches the Rfam family "tRNA". From Rfam's summary of the family: Transfer RNA (tRNA) molecules are approximately 80 nucleotides in length. The record is from RNAcentral. RNAcentral also lists the same sequence under 5 other names. Lineage: Bacteria; Pseudomonadati; Bacteroidota; Chitinophagia; Chitinophagales; Chitinophagaceae.